CAGCCGCCGCGGUAAUACGAAGGGUGCAAGCGUUAAUCGGAAUUACUGGGCGUAAAGCGUGCGUAGGCGGUGAGUUAAGUCUGCUGUGAAAUCCCCGGGCUCAACCUGGGAAUGGCAAUGGAUACUGGCAAGCUAGAGUGUGUCAGAGGAUGGUGGAAUUCCCGGUGUAGCGGUGAAAUGCGUAGAGAUCGGGAGGAACAUCAGUGGCGAAGGCGGCCAUCUGGGACAACACUGACGCUGAGGCACGAAAGCGUGGGGAGCAAACAGGAUUAGAUACCCCCGUAGUCCCUGUCUCUUAUAC
Molecule: ribosomal RNA, 301 nt
Filed under: uncultured bacterium
Lineage: Bacteria
Description: partial 16S ribosomal RNA
Rfam family: Bacterial small subunit ribosomal RNA
Source: RNAcentral